GGCAAUCUAGACUGCGUCGAGGAAGGGGGCGGGCGAGUAUGGUUUUAGUUGCCACUCCUUAGGCCUGCCAGGGAGCACAAUUUCUGAGUUUCAUAGAUAUUUUCAAAGCGAUAUGAACCGUUCGCCAGCUGCACCUUAAGUGGCCCCAGUGAUCCCUAGUGGGCGCUUGAAACUUUUGCUAGACGCUUUGGCAGUUCGUAAAGAAACCGUGUGCGCGGUAGCCAAGCCACAGCCUUGGAGAGCCCGAUUACUGUAUGAGAGAGCGGCUUUUCCCGGGAAAUUAGGUUAGGGUUAAAGGGAUGAGCCGCAACCUUUUUUGUCCUGUGUCUAUAUCUGUCCUGGGCUCAGCCUACUUCCACCCGGCCUCACUGUAAGGCGGUCAGGAGCGGCUGGAGGCUGCAUCUGGCAGUCUAGCUUGUGCUCCGUCCAUCCCGCGCACUUUGCACCCACAGGCAAGGUGGUGAGAGGAGUAAGUUCAUUGCACCAAAAAGGCCCAUCUACACUGAAGAACUUUAGGGGAAUUUUGACUCACAAAUUCAAUGACUUUACAUUAGGAUGAGAAAUAUUUCAGGGAGUGCACAAUUAAUGUUCGUGUCAAUUGUGAAACAAUUUUCGCAAAAAUUUUAUUCGCCUUGAAGCAGCUAGCAAAAUUAUUUGUAAAAUGAAGUCUCAAAAACUUUGUUCCAGACAUACUUUGCUAUUUAAUUAUAUGAGAAGUGCCUGAGUGUGUUGCUUUUCUAUUGUUCUGUAACAAAUCACUACAAAUUAAUGGUUUAAAAUAUCACCCAUUUGUUAUCGUAGUCGUGUAGGUCCGGAGUUGGUAUGGUAUAGCCGAGUGCUCUGCUUAAGGGUCUCACACUGUUGAAGUAAAGGCGUCUGCAAGUGGAAUCUCAUUGAAGAUCUGGGUUUCUCUUCCAAGCCCCUGGCUGUUAGCAGAAUUAAUGUCCUUGUGUUUCUUAGUCUGAGGUUCUCCUUGUUUUGCUAGUUGUUGGCCAGAGGCUUUUGCCAAAUAGCUCUUCUAUAAGCUUUCUCAUACAGUCUCUGACUUCAUGGAGAUCCCUUUUAAGGAUUCAUCUGUGUGUUUAAAUCACCAACUUUUCACUCUUUCCACCAGGAACUUAGAGUCAGAAUUCUGGCAUAAGACUGGUAGAGCAUGAUGCCCACCUUACUACGAAUAAAAAUUGUCUGUCUUUCUAAGGAAUUUUAUAUUAAUACUCAGCACUUCAGGAAAAUUUCAUGGAAGAGCCCAAGACAUUUUGAAAUUGGAGAACCGAUUGGAUGAAUGAGUUUGAAUUCCAGAAAAAGAAAUGGGAACAACCAGUUAGCAUUCUUCAUGACACUAAGGAAUCUUCCUUCCAAAUUAUGUGGAAGGU
Molecule: long non-coding RNA, 1373 nt
Organism: Leopardus geoffroyi (Geoffroy's cat)
Lineage: Eukaryota; Metazoa; Chordata; Mammalia; Carnivora; Felidae
Exons: 3
Source: RefSeq, a predicted model, not a curated record